RNAcentral lists this ribosomal RNA (865 nucleotides) under Streptococcus phocae. Its description in RNAcentral is "partial 16S ribosomal RNA". It matches the Rfam family "Bacterial small subunit ribosomal RNA", at positions 296 to 1388 of the family's 1533-position model. The record is from RNAcentral. Lineage: Bacteria; Bacillati; Bacillota; Bacilli; Lactobacillales; Streptococcaceae.
GAGACCUGACGUGCAAGUAGAACGGUUCUUAGCUAGUGCUUGCAGUAAGUAAAGGGUAGGGAAUCUUCGGCAAUGGACGAAGUCUGACCGAGCAACGCCGCGUGAGUGAAGAAGGUUUUCGGAUCGUAAAGCUCUGUUGUAGAGAAGAAUGAUGGUGGGAGUGGAAAAUCCACCAUGUGACGGUAACUAACCAGAAGCGAUUGCGAAUACCGCAUAAGAAGAGUCAACACAUGUUAGUUCGUGAAACGGCGCGAUUGCGCCUCUCUGGGAUGUAGCGCUGUAUUCUCGAGUUCGUGAGGUAACAAAGGGACGGCUAACUACGUGCCAGAGCCGCGGUAAUACGUAGUCUCGAGCGUUGUCCGAUUUAUUGGGCGUAAAGCGAGCGGAGAGUGUCCAUGUGUGCGGUGAAAUGCGUAGAUAUAUGGAGGAACACCGUGGCGAAAGCGCUCUCUGGUCUGUAACUGACGCUGAGGCUCGAAAGCGUGGAGCAAACAGGAUUAGAUCCCUGGUAGUCCACGCCGUAAACGAUGAGUGCUAGGUGUAGACCCUUCCGGGGUUUAGGCCGUAGCGUUGGGGUAGAACGAGCGCAACCGUUAUUGUUAAUUGUCAACUUUAAGUCGGUGGCUCAACCAAGAUUCCCUUUGCAACCGGGAGACAGGUGGGGAGAACGGGAAAGUGGCAUGCCAUUUAUGACGGUGACACGGUGGAUAUAUGGAGUACAACGAGUCGCGAGACCGGGCACGCUGAUCUGCAUCAGCCGCUCAGAGUCGAGAUUGUAGGCAGCAACCCGCCUGAGUGAAGCCGGAAGCGCUAGUAGUUCGCGAUCAGCACGAGGCGGUGAAACACUUUCCCCGGCCUUGUAACA